Molecule: long non-coding RNA, 2262 nt
Organism: Pomacea canaliculata
Lineage: Eukaryota; Metazoa; Mollusca; Gastropoda; Architaenioglossa; Ampullariidae
Exons: 3
Source: RefSeq, a predicted model, not a curated record
CAGUGAACCUGCUGAAGAAGAUGACAGGGAGGCCAGACGCAGACGCCGUCGAGAGGAACGGCAGAAGCAGGAAGCUGAAGCAGCUGCCGAAGAGGAGGAACGAGAGGCUAGGCGCAGGCGCAGGCGUAACCGUACAGGGGAGGAAGACUGAAGGGAGACUCCAGAUUCACCAUACGAAUCAAUCCAGUAGUAUGACUGAUCUGCUAUAUGCACAUCAUUGACAGAAGGACCUGUUUGUCCUAUCCUCCGUCUUAACGUUUGAAAUCACGAUGCCCUCAACUUUCAGUUUUAUCUUCUCAGGAGAUCAGACUACUCUUUCUUUUCAUCACUUCUGCAUCUCCACCGUUUUUUGAUGCGUUAUGGUUUUGUUAAAAGCAAAACUAAUAAUAAUAACACUUCUUUAAAUGCAAUAAAUCGUGCAUCUUUUGUGCAUUAUCCUGUAACUAACUGCAAUAUCUAUGGGGUGGAUGCAUUUGCUAGCAUCAGACUUCAGUGCAAUUUUAUAUCCACCUUCAGCAACAUAAGACAAAAAGUUAGGUUUCCUGUAACUGUUAUUAAAUAAUUAUUUAUUAUAAAGAAUGAAACAUGCAUUUGUGUUAACAAUGAUGAUUAAUAAAUUCAAAAUGAUAAUGUCAAAUGAUUUUCAGCUUUUGGAGUAACAUUAAUGAGUAAAAAAAAUGUUCACAUGUAUUUACUGUAUGCUGUAUGAGCAGAGAACAAAUGUUUCCUUCAACACAGUGAGUUAGACGACCAAUGCCAUUGUUAAACUUAUUAUUUUUGUAACAGAUGCUUGCCAAAUGAUCUUAGUAUGCUGUGUGCAAUACUUGUACAUGUCUUGCACAGAUUCAUUUGAAUAUGAUUGCCCUUUUUUUUCUCAUUAACCUGUUCUGCAGUUGCAUGCAAUAUAAGUAGCUGCUCAUUAUUGUGCAUACUCUUUGUGGAAACUGUCAACUUAUGUUUCCUUAAUUUUAUGCCGCUCAUAAAAGAAAAACUGUAAUGGGUGCUUAUGAAGUGAUGCUCAGUGGAUGUUUUUCAUCUGUCUCAAAGCAUAUUUACCAAAAGAGAUGGAACUUAAAAGUCUAUUUUGUAACUGAGAUCAUUAACCUUGCCGUACAUUAUCUUUAGUAUGUUUUAAUGUUUAUAAAGUAAUUGACUUUAGUUUUCUGUUUCAUUGUUAGUGUUCUUUUCCAGGUCAAAGAUUGGUUCAAAAAAGAAACCAAACAAACAAGCAAGCACUUGGUUAAAAGAGUAUAUAUAUAUAUUUGCCUGACUUCUACCACUUUACUCCUAUUGUUACUUUAAACUCCUGGAAAUUCUUUGCAUUAUUCAGGAUUCAGCUGAACUGGAAUCUGCUACAUUUUCUUGUAAUUCUAUGAUGUCCUAAUGGCUCAGAAAUUGGCAGAGUUAAGAAAAGAUGUAAUUAAAAAGCUGCCCGAGUGAAGCCAUUACACCUUACUGUUAGUACAGACUAUUUGAACUCUCCAGGGGUCGGAUGUUGCAUUGUCGUUCUCCAACAUACUUAUGUUUGGGGAUUACUUAACUACAAAAGUUCAAAACAUGUUAAUGGUACCUUAUAUGCCAUGUGGUUUGGUCUAAAAGCACUAAUCAAAAUGCACAUGAGUGUAUACAUGCAUGUGUGAGUGUGUGCAUGUAUACUGUGUACAUCGAAAUGUGUAUAGGGUGUUCCUUCCCGAACACCAGAAGUCAUGGCAACGCAAUUAGUUGGGCAUUUUUGUUCUCAGGCACAUGUUGAAGGUAGCAUUGUGUAUGAAAUUCAAUUUUGCUCGAAAUCUAUCUACAAAUUUUAAUAUAAAUUUCAGUUAUCUUCUAAACAGCUUAGAAGAUACAUUUAGCUGCAUAUGGUUAUUUUGCUGGCAACAUGACUUUUUUAAUGAUCAUGGCAACCGUAAGAAUUUGUCCCUAACCAGAUGCUUAUCACCAAAAUUCUUGUUCAGCUUCGUCAUAUUUUCAAAUACUACUACUAAAAUAUGCAAAGUCUGCCUUUUUAAGGAGCACACUUUUCUUUAGUUUUCGUCUUUUUUUUUUUAAACAGAUUUCUGUGAGCACACUUGAAAUAAGCAAAGGUACUUUAGACUUAUUUUGUGCUGGUUCGAACAAUCUGGACAUCUUUUGACUUUGGUGAUGACUAUUUAAAAUUAACCUAGUGAUUUGAAUCCAUUUUUGUAUACUAGUCUUUCACUAUAUACAUGUUAUCGUGUUGGAAGAUUGAUCCUUUUGAUAGUAAAAAUUUACCGCAAAUCA